CUGAGGAGACAGGACCUGGGAGAGGCGGCCUCACGACCCCUUCGCCCAUUGCAUGAUGGGAAACCAGACGCAGUGCAUGCCGGGACAUCAGGCCCCCUGCAGCCCUGCCCCACUGCAUGAUGGGGCACCGUUCCCGUCCUUGCCGCCCUCUUCCACGCAGUGCAUGCCGGGACAUCGCACCCCUCCGCCUCCGGCCUCGUGCGGGCGGGGACUGGCUGCCAGCCGUGCCCGCUGGGCCUCGGCGGCCUUGGGAGGGGGCCUGCUGCCUAGGCCCUGCCUCUGCUGGGCAGGUUGGGACCCUUGUGUCACAGCACCGUGCGCCGAGCCAGCCUCGAGUCUCCCCGAGCAUCCCUGCCAGGGGUUGGCCAGCCUGGCCUCAGAGCUCCAGUGAUGGGGACUCCACACCCCCAGGAGCCUGCUCCCAGGCUCAUCCUUCCGUACGCAUCAAAGGAACAGAACACAGCUACAGCCCAGUCCUGUGCCAAGAUGACCAGUGUGCUGCCAGUAUCAAAGGGAGGCAUGCCCACUGUCCAUUCUGCAGCAUUUCAGAGGCUUAUCAGGACCUGUUCAUUCUCCAGGCUCACUACCGGGUCAAACACAUGGACAAGGGGCUUGACUUUGCAGGACUGAAGAUCCUGCGCUGCUGCAAUCACUGUGAGAUCGUGGGCACGAUCAAAGGGGAGAAGAAGUUCAAAGGGGCGCACUGGCACUGCUACCGCUGCCGCAAUGGCUUCAACCGGCGGGACGAGGCAGUGAAGCACUACAAAACCCACUUCCGGAACCCCCACACCACCUUCCAGAUCCAGAUCACACAGGAUGUCAACAGCCGCCAGUAUUACCAGCACAGCGCCGAAGCCCACCCUAAGGCCUAUGGCGGCCUCCAUGUCUCCACCGGAGCCAGCGUCGAUGUGAUGGCCAUAGGCUCGGUGCUGGCCCAGACCGUCCUGGCAUCAGGAUCGCCUGUCUUCACCACCGACAAAGGGACAGAAAACCUCUUGGACAGCCCUGCCAAGGACAGCCGUUUGAACAGCAGGAUCAUGCUGGGAGUAGAAGAGAUGGCGGGGCUCAGCACCUCCUCCUCAUCCCUUCCCACCCAUCAAACCCUGGUGCUGAUGGACCCUGAUGGAGACAGUGGCAACAUCAUCUUUGAAGAGGGAGCCAAUUCUCUGGCAGGGCAGCCCAGUGAGGGGCUGGAUCAGAACCUGCUGGAGAAACAACUGAUUGAGCUGCACCAGCAGAACCAACAGCUGCUGGAGGAGAAGAAGGAGAUGGAACAGAAGCUUCGGGCAGAGAUCCUGCAGCUAAAGGAACAUGUAGGUACAGAGCGGGAGUGUCACCUCACGGAGCAUGCACCGGGGACUGCAGCACAGCUGGAUGGGCCUCCUGAGAGAUCAUACAGGGCACAGGGUCUCCAUGACAGGCAUCCUGAAGGGCUCUGGCAGCUGUUCUUCAGGUGUGAAAUCUCUUUGGGGAAGCAACAACUGGACUUGGGAGAGAGGCAGAUUGCCAGCAUUGUCCAAGCUAACAUCCGCAUGGCAGAGGAGCUGAAACGGUACCGAACCUCAGAUGACCUGGAGAAGAAAGUCAGCAAGAUGGUAGGUCUCCCUCCUUCUCCUUCGCUGCUUGAAUGAUCACCUUAUGCUGUAACCAUUUGACUCCAGCUUCAUGGUUAAACCCUGGGGCAUGCUGAGAUAGGAGUUUUGAGCUCAACAUUCUAGCUGUGGCUGUGAAUGCUUCACAAAACAACAAGAACAGACAGAAUUUCAUGCAUUGUUUGUUUGUUUAACAUAAACACAGUGCCAGAUUUUCGACUAAUGCAGCACCAUUGUAGUCCGAAAACUCAGCAUCAUGGGGCCAGGGCAUGGGAACCAGGAAGUGAAACUGCCCAGCCUGGUUUUGCUAUCCCACGAAGGAAACAAGCAGCAUUAGUGAUUAAAAGCUAUUUAGUAUAAAACUCAGAGCACCUGUGUUAGUAAUUUAGGUGCUGAGCACCUCCUGGAGUGUACUUAACUCCCACUGAACCUGUGAGCACAUCAUCCUCCUCUUCCCCAGGAUGUGCUGCCAGUCCACCUCAUCCCCUGGACUCUUGGACAGGCCUCUCUUUUGCAGCUCCAGGCUCUGAAACUAUUUCCUUUUCCACCCAUCUGUAGCACCAGUGGUGACAAGAGGCAGCAAGCUAGCUCCUCUUCCUCAUUUCCAGCUGCUUUUAGAGCACUCCAGGUUCUGCCUGGCAGUGUAGAGCCUGGACAUGCAUUAGCAGCAGCUGGAGAGGAGAAGGAACCAUGACCAUGUGACCACCCUGGUGUGCCAGCGUGUGACUUUUUGCAUGGCAACUCUGGUGCCAUGAUAUAUAUUUUCCAAGGGGUGGGUUGGGAUUCUCCUCUUCCUCCCUAUACUCACAGUUUGGAAAACUCUUUCUGCCAUUUAUUCCUAAAGCUUUAGACCUUUACAAGGUCUCAGGGUCUAUGUCCACUUGGCAAAGCCAAACUGUCUGCGAACGUUGCCUGCUGCAUCUUUGCUUUGCAGCUCCUGAUGUCUGGGACCGCAGGUCUGGAAUCCUGGUCCACAGGGCUCUUCUGAUAUGUCUACACUGCAGUUAGACACCUGUGGCUGGCCCUGGUCAUGACUCCAGCUCGCACUAAGGGGCUGUUUAACUGUGGUGUAGACGUUGGGGCUCUGAUCCUGCGAGCGAGGAGGAUCCUAGACUCUAGCUGAAGCCCCAUGAGCCUGAGUCGGCUUACCUGGGUCAGCCAGGGCCAGUCUAAUUGCCAUAGAGACAUACCCCUAGGGGCUAGGCUGUCCUGACCUGCCACCCAGUAACCUGCAAACAGCUGUAGGAGUAGCAGCUGAACUCUGACAGAGAACUCCAGCCCUGGAAUCUGAUUGGUGGAACACGGGCAGUUCUGAUUGGUCUCCAGCCUCUAUUUUAACCCAAGCACAGGAACAGGAAGUUGUCCACACAACUGGGUUCUCCCUGCUCAGGACUGCUUCCUCUGAUCCCUGACCCUGUCUGCUUCCUGACAUGUUGAGCAGAUGGAGUGGCAGCACCGAGAAUUGCUGCAGAUGCAGGUGGCAGCCCUGCGGAAGGAGUUUGCCCAGAAAGAGAGUCAG
Gopherus evgoodei (Goodes thornscrub tortoise) is the source of this 3111-nucleotide RNA transcript. RefSeq lists it as uncharacterized. The record is from RefSeq and is a predicted model, not a curated record. The transcript is spliced from 8 exons. Lineage: Eukaryota; Metazoa; Chordata; Testudines; Testudinidae.